Long non-coding RNA from Pan troglodytes (chimpanzee), 3190 nucleotides. RefSeq lists it as uncharacterized. The transcript has 4 exons. The record is from RefSeq and is a predicted model, not a curated record. NCBI's taxonomy places the organism in Eukaryota, Metazoa, Chordata, Mammalia, Primates, Hominidae.
GAAUAAGGGCACAGGUUUAGCACCUCACAGCAGCAGCUGGUCAAGACAGAUAAGAACCUACUGGCAUUAAUCAGUGGAAACAAUACAGGAUAAAGGCUGCCACUUUAUGAAAGAUGAGCUUGGCCUGUCCAAAAUAAGUUGUGUAACUUCCCCAUGGAGAAGACAAGAGAGGCUAAAUGGGUCACAAGCAAAUAGUCUCAUAAGCCCUCAGCCAGAUUAGCAUGUUGAAAUCCUCCCCUUUAUCUGGGCCAGUAAGGAGCAACUUAGCCUCCCAGAACUGGGCCCUCUUGGACCCACUAACCUAGAUCAUAGUGAGAGGUGACAGCGUUCUGGCAGCCCUCGCUCACUCUUGGCACCUCCUCAGCCUCGGUGCCCACUCUGGCCACGCUUGAGGAGCCCUUCAGCCCACUGCUGCACUGUGGGAGCCCCUUUCUGGGCUGGCCGAGGCCAGAGCUGGCUCCCUCUGCUUGCCGGGAGGUGUGGAGGGAGAGGCACGGGCAGGAACUGGGGCUGCAUGCAGCACUUGCAGGCCAGCCCAAGUUCUGGGUGGGCGUGGGCUCGGCAGGCCCGCACUCGGAGCAGCUGGCCGGCCCUGCCGGCCCCGGGCAGUGAGGGGCUUAGCACCCGGGCCAGCAGCUGUGGAGGGUGCACUGGGUCCCCCAGCAGUGCUGGCCCACCAGGGCUGUGCUCGAUUUCUCUCUGGGCCUUAGCUGCCUCCCCGUGGGGCAGGGCUCAGGACCUGCAGCCCGCCAUGCCUGAGCCUCCCCGCUCUGCCGUGGGCUCCUGCGCAGUGCACCCGAGCACAGCCCCCUGCUCCACGGAGCCCAGUCCCAUCAACUGCUCAAGGACUGGGGAGUGCAAGCGCAAGGUGCCAGACUGGCAGGCAGCUCCACCUGCGGCCCUUGCAGGAUCCACUGGGUGAAGCCAGCUGGGCUCCUGAGUCUAGUGGGGACUUGGAGAACCUUUAUAUCUAGCUAAGGGAUUGUAAAUACACCAAUCAGCACUCUGUAUCUAGCUCAAGGUUUGUAAAUGCACCAAUCAGCACUCUGUGUCUAGCUCAGGGUUUGUAAAUACACCAAUCAGCACUCUGUAUCUAGCUAAUCCAGUGGGGAUGUGGAGAACUUUUGUGUCCAGCUCAGGGAUUGUAAACGCACCAAUCAGCACCCUCUCAAAAUGGACCAAUCAGCGCUCUGUAAAACAGACCAAUAGGCUGUCUGUAAAAUGGACCAAUCAGGAGGAUGUGGGUGGGGCCAGAUAAGAGAAUAAAAGCAGGGCUGCUGGAGCUAGCAGUGGUAACCGGUUGGGGUCCUAUUCCACGCCGUAGAGGCUUUGUUCUUUUGGUCUUUGCGAUAAGUUUUGCCGCAGUUUACUCUUUGGGUCCAUACUGCCUUUAUGAGCUGUAACACUCACGGCAAAGGUCUGCAGCUUCACUCUGGAAGCCAGCUAGACCACGAACCUACCGGGAGGAAGGAACAGCUCAAGACUUCCUGCUGUAAGAGCUGUAACACGGCAAAGGUCUGCAGCUUCACUCCUGAGCCAGCGAGACCACGAACCCACCAGAAGGAAGAAACUCCGAACACAUCUGAACAUCAGGAACAAACACCAGACACGCCGCCUUUAAGAACGGUGGCCUGCAGCACCUGGUAAACAGAAAGGAUAGAUUUAAUUGAAGGACUCCUUUUAUUGCAAGGCAAUUGACAAAUGUUACCAGAAAAUAAACUCCCACCAUUCCCAAGUGAACGGAUUUCAAUCUGGUGGAACAGGCUAGACUACACGGAACUACACUGAUUCUGACAUGAGUCUGCAGAGGGAACAAAAGGACUGAGAUACUUAGAAACUCUGAUUGACAGAGCUAAAGACAAUGGAAACAGUUUCAAUAGAAAGAAGCUACAGGACUUCUUACAGCCCACAGUACCAGAACAUCAAGCUAUUUGGCUGCAGAUGUGUACUGCUCUUCAAGAUAAGAAAAGCAGUAAUCCUGAGGGCAAUUCAGAGGUCAUCAGCCUGUGCCAACUAAGACAAGAUUGAAGAGAGAUGGAUGUUAAUGACUGAUAAGUAUACAAAAGGAAGUGAGGAGCAUGGUAUGUAUUUUCUCUAAGAAAAUGUUGAUCAUCUUAGAGAAGAUUUACAUCAACAUGAAGAGACCGAUGGUAGAAAUACAGAAUUAAAUGCACUUCAGGUGAAGGUUCAGAUGAGUGGAAAAAACUUGUUAUUGGAAACUGGAGGAAUGGAGAUCUUUUUCAUAUCAUGGCAGGCAGCUCAGCUGAAUUGUAUCAUGCAGUAAAUGUAAAGUUACUUACUAUUUUAUUUUUUGAAAUUAAUAAGUAUCUUAUAAGAAGCUACUUUGAGACAAUGUAAGUACUGCAUAUUGCUUUUCCUUAAAUGUUCAUCAGUAAUUUUAGCAGCCACUGAUGUUUCCUUGCUGGAAUAAAAUUAUUGUGAUGAUGACUGUCAAAUGGUCAUUUCCUACCUUCGUCAUUUCUUCUAUAUUUUUUAGUUGACUUCUAAUGAAACAAACAAACAAAAACCCCUUUUCUUUCUUCUUUCCUUUUCAUUUAAUCCCUUCCUUUCUUCUUUCCUGCUUUCUCCUUUACUUUUUGGAGCAGAUAAGUUCUUGAGGGAGCCAUGAAUCGUAUAAAAAGGUGUCAUAUUAUUUUACCUACUGGAUUGAUGGUGACUAUUGUUUUCCUUGUCAGAAAAUAAUUAUUAAAGAAAGUCAAUAUAGAUACUCUCUUAACUGAUCUUAAUUUACCCAACUCCUUGGGUUGACAUUUCCUAUUCUCUCUGUAAAACCUAAUUAUUAGCUCAAAUUAUGCUGAAUACACUUGACUAUUACAUUAAGAGGGUCCCUAUUGACUCUCUAGUUCUAGGGUACAUCUAGUCUCUCAAAAGUUCUACACCAACUAAAAGUGAUUUGUAUUUAUUUGUAAAUCAGUUUAUACAAAAGAUUAUUGUAGUUACAGAAAGUAAAUAUUUUUACUUGCUUUGAUUAAAUAUUAAUAUAAAAGAUUGUUUCUAUGUAAGUUAAUCUGAAUUCCUUUAAAAUGCUUAUUAAGUCUACUCAGUAAAGUUGAUUGCUACUGAGUUAGUAAAGGGUGAGCCAAAUAUGAAUGACUGAAAAAUCAUGGUAAAAAUUUACUGUUCUACACUAAGAUACCUUUGAAAGUGUCUUAGAAUUCUGGCUCUAUUG